Molecule: ribosomal RNA, 484 nt
Filed under: uncultured bacterium
Lineage: Bacteria
Description: bacterial SSU rRNA
Rfam family: Bacterial small subunit ribosomal RNA
Source: RNAcentral
AGCGAACGCUGGCGGCGUGCUUAACACAUGCAAGUCGAGUGCGCGGUUCGUAGCAAUACGAACUGGCGCACGGCGCACGGGUGAGGAACACGUGGGCAACAUGCCCUCCGAUGGGGAAUAACCCGCCGAAAGGCGGGCUAAUACCGCAUACGAUUCCGGGGACCUCGGUUCCUGGACUGAAAGCCCGCAAGGGCGUCGGUGGAGUGGCCCGCGGCCGAUUAGCUUGUGGCGGGGUAACGCCCACAAGGCAAUGAUCGGUAGCCGGUCUGAGAGGAUGAUCGGCCACACUGGAACUGAGACACGGUCCAGACUCCUACGGGAGGCAGCAGUGGGGAAUUUUUGGCAAUGGGCGAAAGCCUGACCAAGCAACGCCGCGUGGGUGAUGAAGUAUCUUGGUACGUAAAACCCUUUCGGCAGGGACGAACCUAAUGACGGUACCUGCGGAAGAAGCCCCGGCUAACUCCGUGCCAGCCGCCGCCGUAAU